AGUGAACGCUGGCGGUAGGCCUAACACAUGCAAGUCGAACGGCAGCACAGUGAGAGCUUGCUCUUACGGGUGGCGAGUGGCGGACGGGUGAGGAAUACAUCGGAAUCUACUUUUUCGUGGGGGAUAACGUAGGGAAACUUACGCUAAUACCGCAUACGACCUACGGGUGAAAGCAGGGGAUCUUCGGACCUUGCGCGAUUGAAUGAGCCGAUGUCGGAUUAGCUAGUUGGCGGGGUAAAGGCCCACCAAGGCGACGAUCCGUAGCUGGUCUGAGAGGAUGAUCAGCCACACUGGAACUGAGAUACGGUCCAGACUCCUACGGGAGGCAGCAGUGGGGAAUAUUGGACAAUGGGCGCAAGCCUGAUCCAGCCAUACCGCGUGGGUGAAGAAGGCCUUCGGGUUGUAAAGCCCUUUUGUUGGGAAAGAAAAGCAGCAGGUUAAUACCCCGCUGUUCUGACGGUACCCAAAGAAUAAGCACCGGCUAACUUCGUG
Molecule: ribosomal RNA, 492 nt
Filed under: uncultured bacterium
Lineage: Bacteria
Description: partial 16S ribosomal RNA
Rfam family: Bacterial small subunit ribosomal RNA
Source: RNAcentral